AACUGCCUGGACGAAAUCUGGAAAACCCAGAAAUCGUCAAGAACAACUCCUGACAUCACUGACCGGCCUUAAUCUCUCACAUGUGAUGUUGUUUGACUGAUUUAGUGUUAUGUAGUUGUUCCUUGUCAUGAGUAAUACAUGUAUGGACCAAGAAAACACUUAACUGAUGAACAGAACCUAGAUAAAAUCGAGCCACAAAGUGGUCACUCGAAAC
Molecule: long non-coding RNA, 214 nt
Filed under: Panax ginseng (ginseng)
Lineage: Eukaryota; Viridiplantae; Streptophyta; Magnoliopsida; Apiales; Araliaceae
Description: long non-coding RNA (PGIN_LNC013060)
Source: RNAcentral